CCUCACUAUAGCAAUUAUAAAAGACAUAUUAAUUUGCUCAUUUAGAAGAUAUUGCUAUUCAUAAUAAUUCAUCACACAUAUAUGAGUUAUUUUUCAUAUCUUAUAAUUAAAAUAUUUUAAUUGAUCCCAUUCAUAAACAUUAAUCCAAAGACAUUCAUUAAAAUUCAAAGCAUAAAAAAAUAUAUAUAUCAAAAUGUGACUG
Molecule: long non-coding RNA, 202 nt
Filed under: Elaeis guineensis (African oil palm)
Lineage: Eukaryota; Viridiplantae; Streptophyta; Magnoliopsida; Arecales; Arecaceae
Description: long non-coding RNA (EGUI_LNC079888)
Source: RNAcentral